GGUUCAAAUGCCAGCACAGACACUUACUAGCUAACUGACCUUAGGCAAGCUACUUAACCUCUGGCUCUCAGUUUUCCCAGCUUAAAAAUGGCAUAGGCCAGGUGCGGUGGCUUAUGCCUGUAAUCCUAGCACUUUGGGAGGCCGAGGUGGGUGGAUCACGAGGUCAGGAGAUCAAGACCAUCCUGGCUAACACGGUGAAAACCUGAGCCGGGUGUG
RNAcentral lists this long non-coding RNA (216 nucleotides) under Homo sapiens (human). Its description in RNAcentral is "non-protein coding lnc-RGPD3-4:1". The record is from RNAcentral. Lineage: Eukaryota; Metazoa; Chordata; Mammalia; Primates; Hominidae.